Molecule: ribosomal RNA, 468 nt
Filed under: uncultured bacterium
Lineage: Bacteria
Description: partial 16S ribosomal RNA
Rfam family: Bacterial small subunit ribosomal RNA
Source: RNAcentral
GACGAACGCUGGCGGCGUGCUUAACACAUGCAAGUCGAACGGAAAGGCCCUGCUUUUGUGGGGUGCUCGAGUGGCGAACGGGUGAGUAACACGUGAGUAACCUGCCCUUGACUUUGGGAUAACUUCAGGAAACUGGGGCUAAUACCGGAUAGGAGCUCCUGCUGCAUGGUGGGGGUUGGAAAGUUUCGGCGGUUGGGGAUGGACUCGCGGCUUAUCAGCUUGUUGGUGGGGUAGUGGCUUACCAAGGCUUUGACGGGUAGCCGGCCUGAGAGGGUGACCGGCCACAUGAGGACUAAGAUACGGCCCAGACUCCUACGGGAGGCAGCAGUGGGGAAUAUUGCACAAUGGGCGGAAGCCUGAUGCAGCAACGCCGCGUGCGGGAUGACGGCCUUCGGGUUGUAAACCGCUUUCGCCUGUGACGAAGCGUGAGUGACGGUAAUGGGUAAAGAAGCACCGGCUAACUACGUG